AUUCAAACCUGACUCCAUUAGGUGCUGCUCAUUGCCUUGGAGGCUGCUGCUCCUGUGUGUCAGAUCCACAGAGAUAUCCGAGUUCAGAAAUGAGUGGAAAAAUACCCAUGGUGGGCAGGAAGAGAAAUCCCCUUGCUAUAUUCCCAUUGUGAGCAGUGCCACCCUGUGGGAUAGAAGCACACCCAGUGCAAAGCACAUCCCUUGUUAUGAAAGAACUUCAGUACCCUGCUCCAGAUUCAUUAAUCACAUGAAGAAUUUCUCUGAAUCUCCUAAAUUUCGUAGUCUACACUUUCUGAAUUUUCCAGGAAGUCACCAUGGACAGGCCACACAGAAAUUACAGGGAGCUAUGGUUCUUCACCUUGAAGAAUGUCACCACUCCUAGAAGCCCUUUCCUGCACUUCCUGGCUCCUCAGAUUUUGUUUAAAUAUAAGAACUGGAAAACCAAAGCUUUGUCAUCUCUAAAACACCUUCACUGAGAAACGAAGUGUCCUUCUCAUCCCAUGGGGCUGUUCUGGGUAUCAAGUAAGAUACUGAUAUGAAGUGUUUU
RNAcentral lists this long non-coding RNA (547 nucleotides) under Homo sapiens (human). RNAcentral describes it as "non-protein coding lnc-NT5DC3-5:7". The record is from RNAcentral. Lineage: Eukaryota; Metazoa; Chordata; Mammalia; Primates; Hominidae.